Molecule: ribosomal RNA, 603 nt
Filed under: Aspergillus wentii
Lineage: Eukaryota; Fungi; Ascomycota; Eurotiomycetes; Eurotiales; Aspergillaceae
Description: eukaryotic LSU rRNA
Rfam family: Eukaryotic large subunit ribosomal RNA
Source: RNAcentral
GUUGACCUCGGAUCAGGUAGGGAUACCCGCUGAACUUAAGCAUAUCAAUAAGCGGAGGAAAAGAAUCCAACCGGGAUUGCCUCAGUAACGGCGAGUGAAGCGGCAAAAGCUCAAAUUUGAAAUCUGGCUCCUUCGGGGUCCGAGUUGUAAUUUGCAGAGGAUGCUUCGGUUGCGGCCCCCAUCUAAGUACCCUGGAACGGGUCGUCAUAGAGGGUGAGAAUCCCGUAUGGGAUGGGGUGUCCGCGUCCGUGUGAAGCUCCUUCGACGAGUCGAGUUGUUUGGGAAUGCAGCUCUAAAUGGGUGGUAAAUUUCAUCUAAAGCUAAAUACUGGCCGGAGACCGAUAGCGCACAAGUAGAGUGAUCGAAAGAUGAAAAGCACUUUGAAAAGAGAGUUAAACAGCACGUGAAAUUGUUGAAAGGGAAGCGCUUGCGAUCAGACUCGCCUACGGGGUUCAGCCGGCUUUCGGGCCGGUGUACUUCCCCGUGGGCGGGCCAGCGUCGGUUUGGGCGGCCGGUCAAAGGCCCCUGGAAUGUAGCGCCUCUCGGGGCGCCUUAUAGCCAGGGGUGCAAUGCGGCCUGCCUGGACCGAGGAACGCGCUCGGC